This 566-nucleotide ribosomal RNA is filed under the name uncultured Glomeromycotina. Its description in RNAcentral is "SSU rRNA". It matches the Rfam family "Eukaryotic small subunit ribosomal RNA", at positions 548 to 1114 of the family's 1831-position model. Lineage: Eukaryota; Fungi; Glomeromycota. The record is from RNAcentral.
UUGGAGGGCAAGUCUGGUGCCAGCAGCCGCGGUAAUUCCAGCUCCAAUAGCGUAUAUUAAAGUUGUUGCAGUUAAAAAGCUCGUAGUUGAACUUCGGGGUCUACCCAUUGGUCAGGCUUAAUUGUCUGUACUGGUGAGAUGGAUCUCUACCUUCUGAGGAACUUUCAUGCCAUUUAUUUGGUGUGAUGGGAAAUCAGGACUGUUACUUUGAAAAAAUUAGAGUGUUUAAAGCAGACUAUCGUCUGAAUACAUAGCGUGGAAUAAUGAAAUAGGACGGACUGAUUCUAUUUCGUUGGUUUCUAGGAUCACCGUAAUGAUUAAUAGGGAUAGUUGGGGGCAUUAGUAUUCAAUUGUCAGAGGUGAAAUUCUUGGAUUUAUUGAAGACUAACUACUGCGAAAGCAUUUGCCAAGGAUGUUUUCAUUAAUCAAGAACGAAAGUUAGGGGAUCGAAGACGAUCAGAUACCGUCGUAGUCUUAACCAUAAACUAUGCCGACUAGGGAUCGGACGAAGUUAAUUUUAUAAUGACGCGUUCGGCACCUUACGGGAAACCAAAGUGUUUGGGUUC